AUAGAUCCCGUCAGUUUUCGAUAUUGGUGGGGAAAGGCCGCCAUUAAACUAAUCAUCGAAAAUUGGUUCCACGUGUUGGCCAUCUCGGUCCCGCCUGUAGGACCGAGAUAUGUCUACCUCCGUGGCCGUAGUCCAGGUGGAUGGCCUCCAGGCCUAAUCCGUAGACCAAAUCGUUCCUCUACCGUUAUUUUAAAGCAUUAUUCUCGGUUGGGGAGGGCUCUCCUCUCAGAAAAUUGUCGCGGCCCCGGUUUCCGGUAGAAAAUGCGGUGGUUUUUGACCCGAACCCAAAAAUUUGACUUAGGCCGUUUUAUUUAAACUAAGUAAAGAGCAGAUCUUCCAGUCGUUGCUCAUUUUCACGGCUAGGCCGACUAAUCCCAGAAGGCCGGUAAAUUAUCCAGUUGGAUCCGGAUUAAUUUCCUGGCCUAAUUUCGUCCGGGACGGCUAGUAGAACAACCUAAACCUCCCCAGAUAAGGUGGGCUGUUUUCUAAGGAGAUAUAUCUUCUGGUGAAAGGUCCUAGCGGUUGGGAUUUAUAAGCCUAUAAAGGAAUUUAUUCGGUAUAUCUGUCCGAAUGAACAACAUAAACUUUAAUUAAAAUUCGAAUAAUAUUCAUUAAAAAUUUCUCGAGUUUUAUAUCGCGUAUAUAUUUUUAACUAACACGAGUUUAUUUAUCCUUAAACCGUGAUUGGGUACGGUUAAACGGGGCGCGUGCGGAAAAUGCUUUUUCCCUUAAUCUUAUCGGUUGAAUUAUUUCAAACCAUUAAUUUAUAUUUAUAAACUACGCAGUCCGAGAUAGGUGGCGAUUGGUGGCCUUAUCGAUAGAUAAUUCUAAGCACCCGUAUCCCGUAUUGUAUUUUACACCGACGAAAGAAUCUGUGAUAGGCGUAUAUGUAUCUUAAGUACCUCCAAUAUUUCUAUCUACUUGGCUAUUAUUUUUGAAUGUUUACGCCUACUAGAAAAAUAACGCGUAUCUUUUAGCCAAUAAUUUACUCGGUCCAUACGGUUUUAGCGGAUUCCCAUCAGCGGAACAAACAACCGACAUCCAUAUCUGGUUCUGGUGGCUACUGUCCCAUCGGUUACGGAAAAUACGGGACGGAUAUAAGCUAGCCAGCGCUCGAAGAAGAACCGCUAGUUUUGGACACCAAACCUUAAUAAUCGAUUAAUUUAUCUAUAUUAAUACCGUCAAAGGCGGCUGUGGUAUGUAGGAAAUGGUCGGUAUAAGUUUCCUACCCACGGCAAUCUUACGUAUUUAUUUAAUAUACGUCCUGGGAUUAGUGGAAACCGCCAAAAGGAGCCAGUGGCGGAUAAGGAACGUUUCCGGAAGCGGAAGAACAGGCGGAUCCGACCGCCAUCCCGUGGACCGGUCCACAGGUAAAUUAAUUUAAAGGGAAGGAUCAUCCGUGGGCGUGAUUUUAUCCGCCUCCACCGGUGCCGGUGUGGGCCGAUAAAUGCCUAGUUAACCCAUUUCCCGCUUACCGUGCCCAUGGGCGGGUGGAACGACCGCCCGUCCACUCACCCGCCGCCUGGUCUUUCCGUCCGCCGGCGCGCCACCCCAUCCCAGUUCGGAAGUUCCGACGCCGGUCGGCUUAGUAGCGGCCAGCUUUUCCGCCGGCUAAUCCGAUACGGUGGAAAUCCUGCCGAGAAUUCCGGAAGAACGACGGUUGCCGGAUUUCUUCACUAGAGUGAUCCCAGAUUUUACCGGCUAGGCCCGGUUCUUCCUUCCGUUUGGCCAGGCCGCGCCCGGCUCUCUUACCGGCCGAUGGUAGCGUCUAUUUAUACUGGCCCUUUUCCCAUCCUCCGUCCACGCUCUAAAUAGCCGCCGUGGGCCCAGAUAAUCCGACGGACGGGUUAAAAAGAACCGGAAUCCUGGGCCAUCUUUCUAAAACUGGCCGGAGUGGCGGCCUCCACUUACGGAAGGCGCGGGCUUAGCCUCCGUCUCUUCGCCUCCCUCCACCGCCGGGAUAACUCGUGGAACGGGCUCCCCGCCGUCGUCCGGGAAGGACGGCGGCCAUUUUAAAAACGACGACUUCCACUUACCUGUGGCGACGUUAACCGGAAUAGCGGCGGGAAGACCGCCGAUCUAACUAGUUAAAACGGAAGAAGCGGGCAGCGGCGCCCACCCGUCGCGGGUGGUGUACCGGCCACCACGGGGUUUUCCGCCAGGCCAUCCGUUCCGGGCUCUAGUCGUCGGUCGAAGAUCACCGAUUCCGCCGCCAGGUGGCCGCCGUACGCUAGGUGGACGGCCGCCGGGGCAGGUAAAACGCGUGGCCGGGCACGUGCGCGGCCUUUACGGUGUCGGGGCGCCGGUGGAUGGAAAAAUAUACGUGUUUACGCCUAUACCCGUCCGGGAGGUCGCGGCUUGGGCUAGGGGAAGGCGCCCGGAGAGGUGGUCGGGGCCGUUUCCCCGGGCGGCGCGCCGACCGGGCCGCUGGGAAAAUUUCCACGGGCUUUCUUCUCGGUAUACCCGGUAAUAUACUUUAAACCCGAGCAAAUUAGUGUAACGGAUAAGUGAGACCACCGAUAGUCGAUUUAGGGCCGAAGAGGAGGAAAUGGUGAUGGCGAGAGCGAAGGAGCGCGGUCGACCAUACUUUGGGCUGUGUAAAAUUUCCAGCUUCUCGGCAGCGGUGGAAAUUCCCUUCUGGAAUAUUCUCGGUAUCGAUCGAAGAAACGGAGGACGUCCGGCUAAGAAUUAUCGAUAUCUACCGUUUUCUACUUUUAGACGGCGGCUAAAGGAGAUCCAAAUCUACGUCUACCGGAUUCUCCGGUCUAGAUAGUGUAUCUAUCUUGUCGAAAAUUUACUUAUUUUUUCUCCGUACCGCCCGGUAUAUCCGAACUUUAAACCGCAUUGGGCCCGCUCUUUUUAUCAUUUUACGCUUUACUUAUUUAUACCGGCUGGCCGUAAAGCUGUAGCUGUUAAAUAGAAAACGACGGUGGCGCCUCCGACCGGUCCAUCAAAAAUCGAUUUCUAGCUGCGGCCGUGCUAAACCGGCGGAAAAGUGUUCCGUCGCGACGGCUGGUACGGACGCCGGUGGUCCGUUAAGGGGACGGGAUAGGAUGGGGCGGCCAGUCGACGGUUUUCGUCCGUUAAACGGAAGGCCACUACCGCCCGAGCGUCGGUGACACGUAUUCCGAAUUUUGUACGGUCGGAAAUUAGCCAAUGGGCCGGGCUAUUGUUCCUAGAUAGCGUCAUCCUUGGCGCCGCUAGAUGCGGCCAAAUCGGCCAUUUUAUAUCCUGUUAUAGAGCGUUAAGACUUUUCCAAACACCAUCUCGGUUGGCCAGGUAAGCGAUUGCUGUAUUUGUAAAUUAGAAAAGAAAUAUAGUAUUUCUUGCCAAA
This 3334-nucleotide long non-coding RNA is filed under the name Androctonus crassicauda. Lineage: Eukaryota; Metazoa; Arthropoda; Arachnida; Scorpiones; Buthidae. The record is from RNAcentral.